CAAUGGCCGGUACAACGGGGUGCGACACGGUGACGUGGGGCGGAUCCCUGAAAACCGGUCUCAGUUCGGAUCGCAGUCUGCAACUCGACUGCGUGAAGGUGGAGUCGCUAGUAAUCGCGGAUCAGCAACGCCGCGGUGAAUGCGUUCCCGGGCCUUGUACACACCGCCCGUCAAGUCAUGAAAGUGGGCAGCACCCGAAGACGGUGGCCUAACCCUUGUGGGGGGAGCCGUCUAAGGUGAGGCUCGUGAUUGGGACUAAGUCGUAACAAGGUAAC
RNAcentral lists this ribosomal RNA (275 nucleotides) under uncultured bacterium. RNAcentral's name for it is "partial 16S ribosomal RNA". It matches the Rfam family "Bacterial small subunit ribosomal RNA", at positions 1228 to 1500 of the family's 1533-position model. The record is from RNAcentral.